RNAcentral lists this ribosomal RNA (301 nucleotides) under uncultured bacterium. RNAcentral describes it as "partial 16S ribosomal RNA". It matches the Rfam family "Bacterial small subunit ribosomal RNA", at positions 509 to 809 of the family's 1533-position model. The record is from RNAcentral.
CAGUAGCCGCGGUAAUACGAAGGGUGCAAGCGUUAAUCGGAAUUACUGGGCGUAAAGCGCGCGUAGGUGGUUUGGUAAGAUGGAUGUGAAAUCCCCGGGCUCAACCUGGGAACUGCAUCCAUAACUGCCUGACUAGAGUACGGUAGAGGGUGGUGGAAUUUCCUGUGUAGCGGUGAAAUGCGUAGAUAUAGGAAGGAACACCAGUGGCGAAGGCGACCACCUGGACUGAUACUGACACUGAGGUGCGAAAGCGUGGGGAGCAAACAGGAUUAGAUACCCCAGUAGUCCCUGUCUCUUAUAA